This 643-nucleotide ribosomal RNA is filed under the name Pseudoalteromonas sp. 38F(2010). RNAcentral describes it as "bacterial SSU rRNA". It matches the Rfam family "Bacterial small subunit ribosomal RNA", at positions 24 to 656 of the family's 1533-position model. Lineage: Bacteria; Pseudomonadati; Pseudomonadota; Gammaproteobacteria; Alteromonadales; Pseudoalteromonadaceae. The record is from RNAcentral.
UCAGAUUGAACGCUGGCGGCAGGCCUAACACAUGCAAGUCGAGCGGUAACAGAGAGUAGCUUGCUACUCUGCUGACGAGCGGCGGACGGGUGAGUAAUGCUUGGGAAUAUGCCUUAUGGUGGGGGACAACAGUUGGAAACGACUGCUAAUACCGCAUGAUGUCUACGGACCAAAGUGGGGGACCUUCGGGCCUCACGCCAUAAGAUUAGCCCAAGUGGGAUUAGCUAGUUGGUGAGGUAAUGGCUCACCAAGGCGACGAUCCCUAGCUGGUUUGAGAGGAUGAUCAGCCACACUGGGACUGAGACACGGCCCAGACUCCUACGGGAGGCAGCAGUGGGGAAUAUUGCACAAUGGGCGCAAGCCUGAUGCAGCCAUGCCGCGUGUGUGAAGAAGGCCUUCGGGUUGUAAAGCACUUUCAGUAAGGAGGAAAGGUUAAGUGUUAAUAGCACUUAGCUGUGACGUUACUUACAGAAGAAGCACCGGCUAACUCCGUGCCAGCAGCCGCGGUAAUACGGAGGGUGCGAGCGUUAAUCGGAAUUACUGGGCGUAAAGCGUACGCAGGCGGUUUGUUAAGCGAGAUGUGAAAGCCCCGGGCUCAACCUGGGAACUGCAUUUCGAACUGGCAAACUAGAGUGUGAUAGAG